Molecule: ribosomal RNA, 1503 nt
Filed under: uncultured bacterium
Lineage: Bacteria
Description: bacterial SSU rRNA
Rfam family: Bacterial small subunit ribosomal RNA
Source: RNAcentral
GAUGAACGCUGGCGGCGUGCCUAGUACAUGCAAGUCGAGCGAACAGACGAGGAGCUUGCUCCUUUGACGUUAGCGGCGGAUGGGUGAGUAACACGUGGAUAACCUACCUAUAAGACUGGGAUAACUUCGGGAAACCGGAGCUAAUACCGGAUAACAUGUUGAACCGCAUGGUUCAACAGUGAAAGACGGUCUUGCUGUCACUUAUAGAUGGAUCCGCGCCGCAUUAGCUAGUUGGUAAGGUAACGGCUUACCAAGGCAACGAUGCGUAGCCGACCUGAGAGGGUGAUCGGCCACACUGGAACUGAGACACGGUCCAGACUCCUACGGGAGGCAGCAGUAGGGAAUCUUCCGCAAUGGGCGAAAGCCUGACGGGGCAACGCCGCGUGAGUGAAGAAGGUCUUCGGAUCGUAAAACUCUGUUAUUAGGGAAGAACAAAUGUGUAAGUAACUAUGCACGUCUUGACGGUACCUAAUCAGAAAGCCACGGCUAACUACGUGCCAGCAGCCGCGGUAAUACGUAGGUGGCAAGCGUUAUCCGGAAUUAUUGGGCGUAAAGCGCGCGUAGGCGGUUUUUUAAGUCUGAUGUGAAAGCCCACGGCUCAACCGUGGAGGGUCAUUGGAAACUGGAAAACUUGAGUGCAGAAGAGGAAAGUGGAAUUCCAUGUGUAGCGGUGAAAUGCGCAGAGAUAUGGAGGAACACCAGUGGCGAAGGCGACUUUCUGGUCUGUAACUGACGCUGAUGUGCGAAAGCGUGGGGAUCAAACAGGAUUAGAUACCCUGGUAGUCCACGCCGUAAACGAUGAGUGCUAAGUGUUAGGGGGUUUCCGCCCCUUAGUGCUGCAGCUAACGCAUUAAGCACUCCGCCUGGGGAGUACGACCGCAAGGUUGAAACUCAAAGGAAUUGACGGGGACCCGCACAAGCGGUGGAGCAUGUGGUUUAAUUCGAAGCAACGCGAAGAACCUUACCAAAUCUUGACAUCCUCUGACCCCUCUAGAGAUAGAGUUUUCCCCUUCGGGGGACAGAGUGACUGGUGGUGCAUGGUUGUCGUCAGCUCGUGUCGUGAGAUGUUGGGUUAAGUCCCGCAACGAGCGCAACCCUUAAGCUUAGUUGCCAUCAUUAAGUUGGGCACUCUAAGUUGACUGCCGGUGACAAACCGGAGGAAGGUGGGGAUGACGUCAAAUCAUCAUGCCCCUUAUGAUUUGGGCUACACACGUGCUACAAUGGACAAUACAAAGGGUAGCGAAACCGCGAGGUCAAGCAAAUCCCAUAAAGUUGUUCUCAGUUCGGAUUGUAGUCUGCAACUCGACUACAUGAAGCUGGAAUCGCUAGUAAUCGUAGAUCAGCAUGUUACGGUGAAUACGUUCCCGGGUCUUGUACACACCGCCCGUCACACCACGAGAGUUUGUAACACCCGAAGCCGGUGGAGUAACCUCUUGGAGCUAGCCGUCGAAGGUGGGACAAAUGAUUGGGGUGAAGUCGUAACAAGGUAGCCGUAUCGGAAGG